CCAAGUGAGCGGCAAGAGCUCAGAUUUGAAAUCGUGUUUCGGCACGAGUUGUAGAGUGUAGGUGGGAGUCUCUGCGGAGCACAGUGUCCAAGUCCCUUGGAACAGGGCGCCUGAGAGGGUGAGAGCCCCSYGGGGUGCUGUGCGAAGCUUUGAGGCCCUGCUGACGAGUCKAGUUGUUUGGGAAUGCARCUCUAAGCGGGKGGUAAAUUCCWUCUMARGCUAAAUAUUGGCGAGAGACCGAUAGCGAACAASUACUGUGAASGAAAGAUGAAAAGCACUUUGAAAAGAGAGUGAAACASCACGUGAAAUUGUUGAAAGGGAAGGGUAUUGGGCCCGACAUGGGGAGUGCGCACCGCUGUCUCUUGUAGGCGGCGCUCUGGGCGCUCUCUGGGCCAGCAUCGGUUCCUGCUGCGAGAGAAAGGGUUCCAGAAAGUGGCUCUUCGGAGUGUUAUAGCCGGGGCCAGAUGUCGCGUGUGGGGACCGAGGACUGCGGCUUCUGUCUCCKAUGCUGGCMCAACGGCGCAAUACCGCCCGUCUUAA
Molecule: ribosomal RNA, 540 nt
Filed under: Pichia californica
Lineage: Eukaryota; Fungi; Ascomycota; Pichiomycetes; Pichiales; Pichiaceae
Description: [Candida] californica partial large subunit ribosomal RNA
Source: RNAcentral